UAUGAACGCUGGCGGCGUGCCUAAUACAUGCAAGUAGAACGCUGAAGGAAGGAGCUUGCUCUUUCCGGAUGAGUUGCGAACGGGUGAGUAACGCGUAGGUAACCUGCCUGGUAGCGGGGGAUAACUAUUGGAAACGAUAGCUAAUACCGCAUAACAGUAGAUGUUGCAUGAUAUCUACUUAAAAGGUGCAAUUGCACCACUACCAGAUGGACCUGCGUUGUAUUAGCUAGUUGGUGAGGUAACGGCUCACCAAGGCGACGAUACAUAGCCGACCUGAGAGGGUGAUCGGCCACACUGGGACUGAGACACGGCCCAGACUCCUACGGGAGGCAGCAGUAGGGAAUCUUCGGCAAUGGACGGAAGUCUGACCGAGCAACGCCGCGUGAGUGAAGAAGGUUUUCGGAUCGUAAAGCUCUGUUGUAAGAGAAGAACGAGUGUGAGAGUGGAAAGUUCACACUGUGACGGUAUCUUACCAGAAAGGGACGGCUAACUACGUG
Molecule: ribosomal RNA, 497 nt
Filed under: uncultured bacterium
Lineage: Bacteria
Description: partial 16S ribosomal RNA
Rfam family: Bacterial small subunit ribosomal RNA
Source: RNAcentral